AGAAAAUGGAGGAAGAAGCUCCUCAUCAAUGGCUGAACCUAGCACUGAUCUCUCUCUCCCUCCUCUUCCUCCUCUACAGAUUCUUCCUCCACAAAAGCACGAAUCCCAACCACCGCCUGCCACCGAGCCCUCCUUCCCUCCCUAUCAUCGGCCACCUCCACCUGGUCAAGGAGCCCCUCCACCGAACCCUACACGAUCUCUCGCUCCAGAGCGGCCCAGUCUUCUUCCUCAGGUUCGGCUCGCGCAAAAUCGUAGUCGUCUCCUCGCUGCCGGCCGUCGAGGAGUUUUUUACUGAGAAGGAUGUCACCUUCGCCAACCGGCCCCGCUUGCUAUCGGGGAAGCUCCUCGGCUACGACUACAGCGUCUUGGGCCUAAUGCCUUACGGUGACUACUGGCGCAACAUCCGCCGCUUCACAGCUGUGGAGAUGUUCUCCGCGAGGCCCCUCGCUGAUUACUCCGCUGUCCGGCAGGAGGAGGUUCUUUCCCUGGUGAGGCAACUGUUUCGAGAUCACUGCUGUCUCAGAGACCGGAGUAAGUAUUGCUUAGACACAAUUUACCUGGCGGCUGCAUAUGAAGAAUCUACCUCUAUCCAAAAAAGGCACAAGUUAUCUUGCAGUUUGAUUGUGUCUACCAUACACCUCACGAAGAGAAGUUAUAUCUGUUUAUUUUUUCUUUUCUUCCUGCAGAAGAUAGGGAAUGGCUGAAGGUGGAUAUGCGGUGGAGGUUGUUAGAUCUUACCCUGAAUGUGAUGAUGCGUAUGAUCGCCGGAAAGAGCUACUUCGGGACGGACCAGGUGUCGGAGGAAGGGAGGGAGUUCAGGGAGAUCAUGAGAGAGUUCUCGCAGCUUUUCGGAAACGCUGGGUACAUCGGGGAUUUCAUCCCAGCGUUGGGGUGGGCUGAUUUUCACGGGGUGAAGAAGAAGAUGAAGAGCGUGAUGAGGAAGGCGGACGUGUUUUUCCAGCAGCUGGUCGACGAGCAAAGCGGGAAAAGGAACAAGCGGUCGUCCGCGGCGGCGGUGGCGGCCGCGUCAGUGUCAUCAAAAGGGGUCGACGGGACGAGACCAUCGAGGACGACAUUCAUCGAUCGGAUGUUGGACGUCCAAGAACAGGAUCCGGAAUUCUACACCAAUACAACAGUCAAAAGCCUCGUUCUGGUGAGCACCGUCACUCUCUAUUUACCAUAUUUAAUUUACCGGCAAGUUAGGGACGGAGCAACCUUUUUUACCAACCUUUUAAAAAUUUAAAUUGUUAGAAUUUUUUUAUUAUUAUCGGAAAGUAUAUUUUCAAACUCAGAAUCUCGUGUCCUACAAUCUAAUAUACUAAACUAUUCAUAAAAUUUUAAAUCAUUAAUUGUUAUUUGAUUAAGUGGCAUGUUACUUCGCAUUUCCUCGCCUGUCCAAAUCUGUCGCGAGGCGGGUCAUGGAAAUGCAAUUUUUCCAUGAUCAUUACCAAACUAGAUGAAGACAACUUCAAAAUAAAAUAAAAAAAUCUUUGCAUUUCCUCGUUCGUUCAUUUUAAAUGACUAAUCGAUUAACGCUUUCGCCUGAGACAAAUUUUACAAGUUAAAGAAUUUUUUGGGGGGCAAGAAAAAGAUGAUCAUGUAAGAAAGCCGAUCACUUAGCGCCCACCUUGGUUGAAUUUCGGUAGCUAAUGCCAAUAUUUUCCACGCAAGGAAAAGAUUAAGGUGCAAGUGGGAGGGACUAAUGCGUCGACGAUGCAUUAAAAAAAUGGUAAAAGUCACUAUCAUGAUGAUGAUAUUGUUUGAUCAAAUAUAGUAUUUUCUCACAAUCUUAUUAUAAUCAUUGAAAUUAUUUGACUAGCAAGAUGAUCAUGUGACGUAGCUUAUCCUUUAAAAUUUCGUUCACCUCGUGAAAAAUAUGAUGUUCCUAAAAAAUAUUUUCCACGAAGUCAUUUUUUGAGAACAAUGAUAAUAUCUUUUAGUGCGUGGUUGGAACUUGAAAAUGAAUUGGAAAAUAUUUUAUGCCGUUCGGUGUGGAAAAUUCAAGUUGAUUUUCGUCUAUGGACUCAUUUUAAUAAAUUUUUAUUUUCUUAUUUAUUUUUUUUAAAUCAAAAUUUUAAACUUUUUAUUUUCUUUCUACUUUUUUCUUUUUAUUUAUUUUAUUUUUUCUUCCCCCCUCAUUCUUCUUUGCCGGUAGCUAGCGAUUGGCCAAGAAAGAAGAAAAGCAAAAAUAAAAAAUAAAAAAUAAAAAAUAAAUUUAAAAAAAUAAAAAAAUAAAAAAUAGAGAAGUGGGGCUACUAGAGUCUGGGAUAAGAAAGAGUGAGUGAGGAAAAUGUUUUCUCUAAUUUGAAAAAGGGAACUAUAUAUAUUUUUAUUUUGAAAGACCUUUUUCUCUUCAUGAAAAAUGUUUUUCUUAAUUAAUUUAUUUUCUGUGUAAUGCACGCUGAAAAAUCUGGAAAUAUGUUUUUCUGAAAGGGUUUUUUUGUUGAAAAGAGCAGAACCUAAGAAUGCAAUGGCAGCCUCCAUCAACUGGUCGCCCAGCGGAAGAAAAUAUCGUUUGGGUCAAACACUUGUGCUAUAUAGUCAAGAGGGUCAACAUCCGACAUAUAUCAAACCUCAGAAAAGAAGAAAGGGCUACCAGCAGUUCUUACAUUCUUAUGUUAUCAAGGAUAGAGAACUAAAAUUAGCCAUUCAACUGUGUGGCUUAAGUCCAAGAUAGGAAUUUAAGUUGAGUGGUGCAUGACAUUUGGUUAGAUGUAUUUUCUCGUGCACAAUGCCAUAUGUACUAAUACCGGUAUAAGGAGCUUGUUUACUAAGUGAUGUGUUAAACUUUAAGUAAAACUUAAAAAAAGGAUUAUAUUUAAUAACUAAUAUCAAUCUGAUACACUAUUCAGUAAACUAGUUUUGUUAUGAAUUUAUAUAACAUAUUAUCAAUGUGAAUUUUUUUUUAUAUAGAUAAAUAAGACUCUAAACUCUUAAUUGAAUGAGUUCAUUUGCACUUAUUAAAGUAUUUGAAUAUUUAAUGAUUUUUAUUUUGCUGUCAGUGUAUCAGAUGAAAGUAUUUUUAGUAAAGCUAGCAGUUCUUUUUCUAUAACAUGAAGACCCACUUUAGGUAAAUUAGCCCUGUGAAUUGUGCAGGCAAUGCUGGUUGCUGGAGCCGACACCACGGCCACCACGAUAGAAUGGGCAAUGAUACUUCUCCUCAACCACUCCGAAGCAAUGCGAAGGGCUUGCGACGAAAUAGAAUCCAAAGUUGGACAUGACCGCCUCCUUGAAGAAUCCGACCUCGCUAAUCUCAGCUAUCUUCAGAACGUCGUUAGCGAGACGAUGAGGUUGUAUCCGUCAGCUCCUCUUCUUCUACCACAUGAAUCCUCGGAAGACACCACCAUCGGUAACUUCCACGUUCCGCGAGGUACGAUGCUGCUGGUAAACGCGUGGAGCCUUCACCGGGACCCCAAGCUAUGGAAGGAUGCCGAGAGUUUCAUGCCGGAUAGAUUUGACGGCGGCCAAGAGAGUAAUGAAGGGUUCAAAAUGAUUCCUUUUGGUGCGGGAAGGCGAGUAUGUCCUGGGGCUGCUCUUGGGAAGAGAGUGGUGGGGUUAGCGUUAGGAGCAUUGCUCCAGUGCUUUGAGUGGCGGAGAGUCGGCUUGGAGGAGAUCGACAUGACGGAGGGCAACGGCCUCACUGCACCGCCGGCGGAGCCUUUGCAGGCCUUGUGCAAGCCGCGUGAAAUCAUCACGCCCUUCCUGGCCAGUGGAGAUGAUCACAUUAAAUAAGAAACGAUGAAGAAAUGCUAGCUAGAGACGCACAGUACGCGUAAGGUUAGGAAGCAACAUGGAACAAUAUGAAGUGGAGUAAUCUUUCUGGAUGUUUUUAUUUUACACUAGCCCUAUGAAAAUAAGUUAAGACUACAUUUGAUUUAGCUUUUCCAAGGAGUUUUGAGCUCCAAAACCCAUUCGAUAAAAAUUGUGAUAUUUGGCAAAUUAUUUUGAAAAUCACGUUGGAAAAAAAUUAACCUUGACAACGCUGAAAACCCAAAGCAAAUUGGGACGUGCUUUCGACUUUCGGUAUUUUUGGAAGGUAAGUUUUUCAAUUAAUGAAGUUAGAUUUUUUUACCCUGAAAAAACUCACUAGAGACAGCCAUUAGGGGCUGUGUUCAAAAGUGCGUGAAUGCAUGAUUGCUAAUAUUCUUGCACAACUUUGAGAAGUUUUUUCUCUACUUGACUUGUUUUGGUUGGUCCAUGUUCACGAGCGAUCAAUCUAAUUAAACCAUAACUUAAUUGGGGAAUGCUAUGCAUGUUAGGAACGGUUAACAACCCUACAUAAUCUUUUCGGUAUCAUGUAUUUCAAUUUAGUUUCAACAUGCAUUUGUCAACUACUUUUCUAAAAAUAUGAGAUGCAAUUAUAAUUUUUGGUGACAUAAUCAAGUGAAAGGUUCACAUCAAGUCGCGCCUUGGGAUGAUUGCUUUUCAUGUAUGUUUUGAAAAAUGGAUGUGCGUAAAAAGUAUGACAUGGCAUAUAAUGCCCACAUCAUAUGAUGACGUGGCGUGUAAAGACAUGUUGUGGUAACAAUGAUGAAUCACGUGGCAAGCGAAUGUAUAAAUGGAUAUUUGUUGAGAUGACAUGGGUGACCGGAUCACUAUUUUGAGUCGACUUAUUUGGGCAUGUAUAUUGUCUCAAAAGAUGCACGUGACCGCUUCAUAGCAACUCUCUCUUAUAGCCGGUUUUGAAAAAUUAAACUUUUUCGCCGAAAUUUUUAUGAUGUUUCUGAUGAGUUUGUUAAAAAAUGCACCCGUUGCGCUUGUUAAUUAAUUAAAUAACAAAAUAUUUCGUCUUUCAAUUUGACGACAUCAAUGGGCAAGUUCAAAACGAGCUUGUGAAUCAAGCAUAUUUUGUUUCCUAAUCCCACCGUAACAAAAAAUCUAUGUAGAAAAUUGGGCCAAACCGGAUUGGGCAAAGUUUAAUAACUAAUAGGCUUUGAAAAAGCCCUCCCAAAAGGGCCUCUUUGGGCCUUUGUUACUUAGGCAUGCCGGUGGUGUGUAAAUUGUCCAAAAAACCCGAACCUAUUAUACUUUAUCCAAUUCAAUUUUAGAUAUUUUAAUUUCAUAAAUUAAGUCCUAAACAUUUUUGCGUUUUGUGUUGAGUUAAUCCGGCCAAUUUUAACUGGAAUUUUUUGACAUUGACGCUAAUAGUCCUAUGUGGCAAGGGCAGUGCUAAUGGGGAUAAUGUAUAUAAUUUAUUUUGUAAAUUGUUUCGUUUUUCUUAUAUUCAAUUUCCUUUUUUCCCCCAAUUGGCCAACCCUCGUCGGUAGAAUGAAAGACAAAGAAAGAAAUAAUAAAAAUAUGGUCCACAUUAGUGUUGAUUGUCCUUUGCGGCACUACUCAUGUCUACAUUAGUGAUUUUUGAUUAAAAUUGACAAGAUGAACUCAAUUGACAAAACGUGAAAAUAGUUAUGAUUCAAUUGGCACAAUUGGAAGGUCUAAAACUGAAUCGAUCAAAUUGCAAUAUAUUCAUGAUUUUUCGGACAAUUCUUUCUACCAGUGGCCAUUAGACUCAUAAUCAAGUCCAUCCUCAAUUUUCCAACCUCAAAUAUGAUUUAAUCAUUGUACGAUCUCCUGGAUAAAUAACAUAGGGUUGGGUCUAGUCUAAUUAAGGCUUUCCUUUUGGACAUAGAAUCAAAUUAUCUAUUUAUAGCUGGAUAACAUCAAUAUUAUUUAAGAAAAGUCUAUUUUUAUUUCAACGACAUAACAACGUGUUUUAAAUCAAAGGUGCCCUAAUUUCCAAAAGACGACACAUUACUUUAGGCUAGACAAUUUUGCUAGAAUAUUGUCCGGUGAGGGAGGUUGGGUGGGAUUUUCCAUCGAAAUUCACCAUUAUUUAGGUGUUGGGACCCAAAAUGGAACCAGGAUUGUGUCCAGUGGGAUUUUUGGCCAUCUCAUGCCGAACAGCAGGGCUUGAGUGCCCGGCCUUACAUCUUCAGCACGUAACCCACGGACGGUGGUUUAUGACAUCGAACUCGAACACGACAACAUGUCGUGACGUCAUAAAACAAUAUCAUUAUAUGCUGUGAUAUUUUCGGGCUUAAUUACCACCGCACGUUCCUGUAAUUGUACGGUUACAAACGAGACUUGGAUAAACAAGUGUGCAGACUCCCAGGCUGGAGUGCCUCUGAAAUUGGUAUCCGAUGCUGGGAAGGAUAAGCAAUGACUAUUUCCAUUUGGUUUCUUCCACAAUCAAAAAGGCCACAAGGUGAAGAGCACCAUGAUCUUCGACCUUGUCGUUUUUGCCUUCUUGUAUGAUGAAUUGCCAAUGUUCGGCCCAUCAAUCUUCACGUUUUGAAAGGUGUGCGAAGGACGGAACUGUUCGUGUCCGUUCAUAAGUGUGAACUCAUCCUUUGGACAACUGAUGGUUGAAAUAUAAAGAAAAACGAUUAGAUGAUAGUUUAUAAUUUAUUAUAAGAAUAAUAAUCUGUUUUAAAUAAUAAAAAAUCAAAUAGUAGAUAACUAUAAAUUUUGGAAAAAUUUCAAAUAAGAACCCAAAGUGCUAUCAUUUUCUCAAAAGAGGACCUGAAGUGAAAUUUAUCUCAAAUAAGGACCCAAAGUGCCUUCAUUUUCUCAAAAGAGGACCUGGAGUGGAGUCUGUCUCAAAUAAGAACCCAAAGUGAUUAUUUAGUCUUAAAGAAGGAUCUCAUUUGCCGGCCGGUGAAUAGAUACAUCUCCGAUGCAUAUUCCGGUAGCUUGGUUAGGGGUAUUUUUGUCAAAUUUUUUUUUUUAAAUUUUCGAUUGUCUUGUUCUUUAUUAUUGUUAUUAUUAUUAUUAUUAUUAUUAUUAUUAUUAUUAUUAUUAUAGGUCAAUGGUGGCACUAUUCAUCAUCUUCUUCGUCUCAUGUUCGUCUUUUUCUAAAGAACAUCAGACUUAGGAAGGGAUGGCGAGCAUUGGCUGUUGGUGAGGGCCCGGCGAGGGUUGGACGCCCAUCGCCGGCAGUAGGCAAGGGCCACUAAGCCCUCGCCGGCAGUGGGUGAGGGUUUGCAGGCCAACCCUAGCCAGAUUUGGGGAGGGUGGCCUUGGCUACGGCUGGCGAGGGUUGUUGAGCCCUUGCUGGUUGUGGGCGAGGGCUUGCAGGCCCUCGCCGGCCCUUAUCGGUGGCCGGUGAGGUGGGCGAGCCCUCGCCCAAGGACGGCAAGGGGCGACCUCGCUGAUGGCCGUGAGGGGCGACCUCCCCCACCUUCGUUUACUGCUCCACCGAUAACCUCGUCUUCUGCUAGAACUACGACUAGGACGCCCGCAUCGCUUUCUUUAUCCCUUCCUCCCACCAUUGCUCCCAGUUCGACGACUUCUUCAGCUACCCCUUUUGCCCUCAAGGACCUUCUUGUAGGGCCUUGAUUUGGAUGACCCCCCUCCCCCAUGGCCAGCGAGGGCUCGAUGGCCCUCGCUUGUUGUCAGCGAUGGGCGUCAAGCCCUCGCUCGCUGGCCUUUCCUCAAGUCUGGUGUUCUUGAUUUGGGCAAGAAAAAGUGAAUAGGUUAUGAAGAAGAUGAUGAACAGGGCAACCGAAAAUGAAAAAAGAAGAAGAUGAAAAUACCAAAAUCAGGCCACCAGAAUAUACAUUAGAAAUGCAUCUAUUCACCGGCUGACGAGUGAGAUCCUUCUUUGAAACUAAAUGACUACUUUGGGUCAUUCUUUGAGACAAACUUCACUUUAGGUCCUCUUUUGAGAAAAUGAUGGCACUUUGAGUUCUUAUUUGAGACAAACUUCACUUCAGAUCUUAUUUUGAGAAAAUGAUGACACUUUGGGUCCUUAUUUGAAAUUUUCCCAUAAAUUUUUAUGGGUCACUUCUUUAAAAAAUUGUGAUUCACAACAAACUCCAAACAUAAUAUGAUUGAUUUUUUUUGUCAAACAUAAAUAUGAUUGAUUGUACAGUUCCUUUUUUCUCAAGAAAAAAAUAAUUUAAAAAAUAUUUUUUGAAAAUGAUUAUUUGAAUUGCUCGAAAUAAAUUCAUCCAUAAUAAAUGUUUUCAUUAUCAAUGACAAUUUAUGUUGCGAAUGAUGAUAAUAUUUUUCGUCAUUCAUUUUUGUAAGUGAUUCAAGUGAUCAUUUUUUUUUUUUGGAAAAUAAUUUUCAAAUCAAUCAAGAUUUGCGAAACAAAUGCACCAUAUGUUUACAUCUAAUUGAGAAAAAUGCAUUUGAACUCUUGCAACUUCUAUUCGAGUCGUAAUGUUAUUUUGAAUUUCUUUAUCAUGCUAUUAAAUUUUAUAGAAUUAACAUAGUUAAUGAAAUAUCCUUAUCGUAAUAUUUAACUAUUGAAUACCCUGGACAUGAUAGUCUUUUGAGUAAACAUGUCUACAUGAAGUUCACAUAUAGAUUUUAUUGACACUAACUUAUUAAAGAAAACAGGCAUAUGGGUUAAAUUUCAUGUCUAAUAGGUUUGACACAAACAAGGUGCGAUGACUAAUGUCAUGUCUUGAAGGUUGUCAUGAAAUUGAUUGGAACUUGAUUAGUUUAAUUUGACUUCGCUAAUUUCAUGUCGUGUUUGAGUUGUAUUAUCACGUCCUAUCAAAAAUUGCUAACCCUAAUAAAGCAAUCUUGCACUCCAUGCAUCUCCACAUAUUGAUCGAUGCACCCUUCCGGCACCCUCUCCAGCUCCGCCGUAAGGAAGUAGCUCACGACGAAUCUGCCCCCGCCGUUCACCAUCGCGUACGAGUAAAUCAGCUUUCUGGAAGUGUAUCUUUAUGGUUAAUACAUAGCUCCAUGCUUGUCGUCUAUAGUGGACAGUUCAUAAAAAAUUGACGAAAACCAACGCAUGCACCUCCGCGCAAAUCACGGAAGAUAAACGACCCUCCUUCAUGUUCAUAUCAUCUUGCCUCAUCAGUCGCGCACUUUUCCUUAACUAUAAUUUAUUCUUUAAAUGGUUUUAAAUUGAUGCGUUCCUCGUCGCCUAGUAGUAUACAAGAACUUCAACUCAACAGACAGUUCAAUCGACACUUUUCCACUGAGAAAAUGGAGGAAGAAGCUCCUCAUCAAUGGCUGAACCUAGCACUGAUCUCUCUCUCCCUCCUCUUCCUCCUCUACAGAUUCUUCCUCCACAAAAGCACGAAUCCCAACCACCGCCUGCCACCGAGCCCUCCUUCCCUCCCUAUCAUCGGCCACCUCCACCUGGUCAAGGAGCCCCUCCACCGAACCCUACAUGAUCUCUCGCUCCAGCACGGCCCAGUCUUCUUCCUCAGGUUUGGCUCGCGCAAAACCGU
RNAcentral lists this long non-coding RNA (9197 nucleotides) under Eucalyptus grandis. RNAcentral describes it as "long non-coding RNA (EGRA_LNC003436)". Lineage: Eukaryota; Viridiplantae; Streptophyta; Magnoliopsida; Myrtales; Myrtaceae. The record is from RNAcentral.